AGAAAAUGCCUGCUCUAGUGACUUCCCGUGCAUACGACCGGGCUCCGUUUGGGAUUCGAGGACUUGGAGGCGGGGACAGUGAGCGGCGGCGGCGACGCGACAUGGAGUUCCUCAUGCAGCCGAUACGCGGAUCCACUUUCCUCGAUGAGGUAGGAGAAAGCAUGGUGCCCCCAGCUGUGCUUUCAGCGCCGGAGGGAGCUGACAUGGUCGUGGAGCACCUGAUGCUGGAGCAGACAGCGGUGGAGCCAGAACAUGCGGUGGGCAGCGCGGAUCUUGUCGCCCAAAGAGGCGGUGGCGCCGAGGGGAGAGAGCUCUCGGCCAACAUCGGAACUGUCUACUCGGAAGAUGAAUCCUCGGGAACCUGAAUGGAACAAAAGGCUUAGGUUGGAGGCUACUGCACCGAGUAGAACACCUUGCCAAAACCAAGUCAGUGCAUUUGAGAAGGCUGUCAGGAAUUAUUUGAAGAACCUGGCUGAGAAUGUGUGUGGUUACAUCUGUAAUUGGUACUACUUUUGAUUCGGUAGGAGAGGCGUACGACUUCUACAAUCUGUAUUCAUGGGAGAAGGGCUUUGGCAUUUGAUAUGAGAAGAGCAGGCUAAAUGUGGAGAGGAUAAAAUGCAUGAAGGAAAUCAUCUGCGGUUGCUCGGUGAGUAUGCAUUUAGUGGUACUGAUUGAAUGUAGUGAUUACAUUAAAAUUUCCAGAAUGGUUAGGAGACAGAAGUUGAUUGAAAGUGUAAACAUGUCUAUAGGGCAAAGCCAGUGUCAAGAACACAAGGUCUUGCCGCUGAUGUCCUGCACUGAUAAGGCUUCUAAAUGCAGAGGACAACAGUUGGUAUAUUGCAGAGCAUAGAGAGACUCAUAACCACCCGCUUUCACCUAAUUUUGGUGAGACAAUCCAUUGGCCAUCGCACAAAAAAAUAGAUGUUUACACCAAGGAUCUUGUGAAACGGCUUAGGCAGAACAAUGUGAACUUCGCAAAGGGGUACAGUAUCAUUGGAGGUUUCUUUGGGUCGAUGGAAAAUGUGCCAGUCACGGAAAGGUCUUUGCGAAAUCUUUGUGGGAAGAUAAAUAGGGAUCACACCGAUGACGAUGUUAAGAAGACAGUGGAUGUGUUUGCAGAGAUUGGAGCUUGGCCUAUUUGUUGGGGUGAACAACCACUUUCAGAGUGUGAUAUUGGCUUUAGUGCUGGUUCAUGACGAGACGCAAGAGAGUUUUGAGUGGGUUUUUUCAGAAUUCCUGAGGAUGAUGGGUGGUUCUCCACCGGUCACAAUAUUGACAGAUCAAAAUCGAGUCAUGGAGCUUGCUAUCAAGAACAUUAUGCCGAACACGACACGCCGUUGGUGCAAAUGGCACGUGCUGAAGAAAGCAAAGGAGUCGUUGGGGGGCUCUGUACACCAAGAAAAGUGAUUUCAGGGCUGAAUUUUAUAAGGUUAUAAACCAUAUGUUGACGGAGGACGAAUUUGAGAAAGGUUGGGAGAUGCUGCUAGACAAAUACAAGCAAAAGAAUCAUCCAUACAUGACACAGCUAUUUGAGAUUAGGAAAAAAUGGCUAAGCCUUGUUUUAAGGGAGUUUUUUGUGCAAAAAUGGCUAGCACACAGAGGAGUGAGAGUGCAAACUAUAUGUUGAAGAACUACGUGCUGCACAAUGCACAUGUUUGUGCAGAAAUACAUGAGGCUGCAGUUCAUCCAGGAAUCGGAGGAGAACUACAAGGAAAAACGAACUCGAAUUGAGGGGAGCCCACUGAUGAGAGCAAACCUGGCAGUGAAGAGGCAUGCCAGCAAGAUAUAAACACGGGCCAUGUUUGAGCAAUUUGGGCAUAUAUUGUAUGAGUCUCGAGCUUAUCAGGUUGAGGAGAUUGAGAAGCACCAGACUUAUGUUGCAAUCCAUAGUGAAGCAGAAAAAAGAGAAAAAUGAUACGGAGUAUAAUACAAGGUUACUAUGCUAGAUGGUGGCAAUGAAUUCGACUGCGAAUGUGGGCAAUUUGCAGCCAUGUGUUGAAGGUUGGGCAAGGGAUCAGCAGGAGCACCUGGCCCGCCUGGGAGGAAGAAGAGGAGCUUUGCCAUCUUCUCCAAGCAGAUUCUUUCCAGCGACAAUGAAGAAGAUAAGACAAGAGGGACAGCUUGAAGAAUCUUGUGAUGGAAGGACACACAGGGUGGGUGGCAAUAAAUUAAAUGGUGGUGGGUGUUGCCGUCCGUUUCAUGGGUAACGUCUGUCGUAGCCCAAACGCGGCGCCCCAUCUCCGAAGCAGACGGCCGUUGCAUUAAAAGCGGUAGCUGGGUGGGCCACGGCCUGGGAAAAAGCGGCUCAUACAUGUUCAAAUACGGACUAAAAAUACAUGGGGCGAUGCGAAUCUCAGCAAUAGUUGACGGCUAAGAUAUGGAGUCCAUCUGAGCUCGAGCUCAGAAUAGGACUUUCCGGUGAUUCGGGUAAUCCUACCUUUUGCCUGGCCUGACGAUCUCGGGCCGGAGGCCAUGGUGGUGUG
This is a long non-coding RNA of Triticum aestivum (bread wheat), 2483 nucleotides long. RefSeq lists it as uncharacterized. Lineage: Eukaryota; Viridiplantae; Streptophyta; Magnoliopsida; Poales; Poaceae. The record is from RefSeq and is a predicted model, not a curated record. The transcript is spliced from 6 exons.